This 253-nucleotide ribosomal RNA is filed under the name uncultured bacterium. Its description in RNAcentral is "partial 16S ribosomal RNA". It matches the Rfam family "Bacterial small subunit ribosomal RNA", at positions 524 to 776 of the family's 1533-position model. The record is from RNAcentral.
UACGGGGGGUGCGAGCGUUAAUCGGAAUUACUGGGCGUAAAGCGUGCGCAGGCGGUGAUGUAAGACCGAUGUGAAAUCCCCGGGCUUAACCUGGGAACUGCAUUGGUGACUGCAUCGCUCGAGUAUGGCAGAGGGGGGUAGAAUUCCACGUGUAGCAGUGAAAUGCGUAGAGAUGUGGAGGAAUACCGAUGGCGAAGGCAGCCCCCUGGGUCAAUACUGACGCUCAUGCACGAAAGCGUGGGGAGCAAACAGG